Molecule: long non-coding RNA, 1518 nt
Organism: Arachis stenosperma
Lineage: Eukaryota; Viridiplantae; Streptophyta; Magnoliopsida; Fabales; Fabaceae
Exons: 3
Source: RefSeq, a predicted model, not a curated record
UCUCACCGAGGCUCCAUAACCUCACAAUGCAUAUCUCAUUCCAUUAUAAAUACAUAUGCAUACAUCCAUUCAUCAUACAACACAAUUACUUGAGAACUGCCAUCGCUGUCGCUGUUGAAUGGUGGAGAGAGAGAGAGAAAGAUCAAAUUUGAGGUGUGAGAGAGGGAGGUGUUAAGAGAGAAGACACUAUCAAGGAGAAGAAGGAGGAGUUGUGUCCCGUCGUCGCUAUCAUGUCUAUCACCACCGUCAGAACUUUGAUCGUCAUCACCGUCACUGAUGAGCGGAUAUUUUAUACGCUUUUUGGCAUCAUUUUCAUAUAAUUUUGUUAUGUUUUAUUUAAGUUUCAUUAUGUUUUCAUAGGUUUUUGUGCGAAAUUCAUAUUUUUGGAUUCUACUUUGAGUUUGUGUAUUUUAUGAUGAAUCAGGUAAAUUCUAGCUGAAAUUGAGGAGCUUUGGAAAAAAGUCAGAUUCAGAGACAGAGAAAGGACUACAGAUGCUGUCAGAUUCUGACCUCCGUGCACUCAAAGGAGCAUUUUUGGAGCUACGUAAGUUCAAAUGGCGCAAUCUCAAUGGCUAUGGAAAGUUAACAUCCAAGGCUUUUCAGAAAUAUAUAAUAGUCUAUGCUUUGCUCUGGAAAUUAAGGCUCAAAACUGGCGUUCAAUGCCAACUACCUAUCCCAUUCCUGGCAUUAGACGCCCAAAAGGGAGCAACUGGCAUCCAACGCCCAAAAGGGAGCCCGAAGCUGGUGUUCAACACCCAAGAGGAGUACUAGCUCAUGGAUUUUAUUCAAGCUCAGCCCAAACACUCACCAAGUGGGCCCCAAAAGUGGAUUUUCGCACUACAAGCCCAUUCUAGCAUAUUUCUGUAAUCCUUAGUCACUAGAUUAGUAUAUAGGAGAAGAUCAACUAUGUUUAGGAUCUUCUGCCUCAUUUUUGCACCAGUCACCGUUGUUGUCGCAGCUGCAAGCAUGAAGAUUGAAUAGAAAGAGACAAAUCACGAGCGAAGGCGACGACAGAGGCCUCUGCCAGCGCUGCUACUAUCAUCGUCGUUGGAGCUCACCGCCGACCUAUUGGAGACCUCGUCGUCAAGAAACGGCGCUGCCAUCGCCGGAAGCUACCAUUGGAACCUCUGCCAGUUUGCUCUAGGUUUUCCUUGUUUGCGUUGGUUCUGUUCCUACUGAUGAGGGUCAUCGGAGUUAUUGCUGCUCUAUUCCCUCAUUCCCUCUAAUUACAGGUUGAGUCACUGCAGCUGCGGACUAGGAUUGUUGCUUCUGCUACCAUAUAAUUAUAGCAGAGUUGAUGUGAAUAUUGCGGCUGUUGUUGCCGCUGUUGUUGCUGUGUUGUUGAGUUACUUUGAGGGACAGGACACUAAGACAGGAAUAUUGAGACAGGGAUAAAGAGACACAAAAUCAUGUUUGACAGAUGAGACCUGGACAGAGACAUUAUGUUCAGGGACACUGAAUUAGUGUAUUUUGUGUCUAUCCUGACAGGAAAGACACAGAGAUACUAACAAGGAACAC